GAUGAACGCUGGCGGCGUGCCUAAUACAUGCAAGUCGAGCGAACAGAUGAGGAGCUUGCUCCUCUGACGUUAGCGGCGGACGGGUGAGUAACACGUGGAUAACCUACCUAUAAGACUGGGAUAACUUCGGGAAACCGGAGCUAAUACCGGAUAAUAUAUUGAACCGCAUGGUUCAAUAGUGAAAGACGGUUUUGCUGUCACUUAUAGAUGGAUCCGCGCCGCAUUAGCUAGUUGGUAAGGUAACGGCUUACCAAGGCGACGAUGCGUAGCCGACCUGAGAGGGUGAUCGGCCACACUGGAACUGAGACACGGUCCAGACUCCUACGGGAGGAAGCAGUAGGGAAUCUUCCGCAAAGGGCGAAAGCCUGACGGAGCAACGCCGCGUGAGUGAUGAAGGUCUUCGGAUCGUAAAACUCUGUUAUUAGGGAAGAACAAAUGUGUAAGUAACUAUGCACGUCUUGACGGUACCUAAUCAGAAAGCCACGGCUAACUACGUG
This 497-nucleotide ribosomal RNA is filed under the name uncultured bacterium. RNAcentral's name for it is "partial 16S ribosomal RNA". It matches the Rfam family "Bacterial small subunit ribosomal RNA", at positions 28 to 507 of the family's 1533-position model. The record is from RNAcentral.